UGAAAGCCCUGGGCUCAACCUAGGAAUCGCAUUUGAAACUGACAAGCUAGAGUACUGUAGAGGGGGGUAGAAUUUCAGGUGUAGCGGUGAAAUGCGUAGAGAUCUGAAGGAAUACCGGUGGCGAAGGCGGCCCCCUGGACAGAUACUGACACUCAGAUGCNAAAGCGUGGGGAGCAAACAGGAUUAGAUACCCUGGUAGUCCACGCCGUANACGAUGUCUACUUGGAGGUUGUGCCCUAGAGGCGUGGCUUUCGGAGCUNACGCGUUAAGUAGACCGCCUGGGGAGUACGGUCGCAAGAUUAAAACUCAAAUGAAUUGACGGGGGCCCGCACAAGCGGUGGAGCAUGUGGUUUAAUUCGAUGCAACGCGAAGAACCUUACCUACUCUUGACAUCCNGAGAAUCCUGCGGAGACGCGGGAGUGCCUUCNGGAGCUCUGANACAGGUGCUGCAUGGCUGUCGUCAGCCCGUGUUGUGAAAUGUUGGGGUUAAGUCCCGCAACNAGCGCNANCCUNAUNCCUUGUUUGCCAGCACGUAANGGUGGNAACUCCNGGGAGACUGCCGGGUGA
RNAcentral lists this ribosomal RNA (567 nucleotides) under uncultured Vibrio sp. Its description in RNAcentral is "partial 16S ribosomal RNA". It matches the Rfam family "Bacterial small subunit ribosomal RNA", at positions 595 to 1159 of the family's 1533-position model. Lineage: Bacteria; Pseudomonadati; Pseudomonadota; Gammaproteobacteria; Vibrionales; Vibrionaceae. The record is from RNAcentral.